AUUGAACGCUGGCGGCAUGCCUUACACAUGCAAGUCGAACGGCAGCGCGGGAGCAAUCCUGGUGGCGAGUGGCGAACGGGUGAGUAAUAUAUCGGAACGUGCCCAGUCGUGGGGAUAACGUAGCGAAAGCUACGCUAAUACCGCAUACGAUCUAUGGAUGAAAGCGGGGGAUCGCAAGACCUCGCGCGAUUGGAGCGGCCGAUAUCAGAUUAGGUAGUUGGUGAGGUAAAGGCUCACCAAGCCGACGAUCUGUAGCUGGUCUGAGAGGACGACCAGCCACACUGGGACUGAGACACGGCCCAGACUCCUACGGGAGGCAGCAGUGGGGAAUUUUGGACAAUGGGCGCAAGCCUGAUCCAGCAAUGCCGCGUGCAGGAUGAAGGCCU
RNAcentral lists this ribosomal RNA (386 nucleotides) under uncultured bacterium. Its description in RNAcentral is "bacterial SSU rRNA". It matches the Rfam family "Bacterial small subunit ribosomal RNA", at positions 30 to 417 of the family's 1533-position model. The record is from RNAcentral.